RNAcentral lists this small nuclear RNA (137 nucleotides) under Jaculus jaculus (lesser Egyptian jerboa). RNAcentral describes it as "U4 spliceosomal RNA (ENSJJAG00000004061.1)". It matches the Rfam family "U4 spliceosomal RNA". From Rfam's summary of the family: U4 small nuclear RNA (U4 snRNA) is a component of the major U2-dependent spliceosome. The structure of U4 snRNA from yeast and human has been reported. The record is from Rfam by way of RNAcentral. Lineage: Eukaryota; Metazoa; Chordata; Mammalia; Rodentia; Dipodidae.
AGCUUUGCGCAGUGGCAGUAUCGUAGCCAAUGACGUUUAUCCAAGGCGGGAUUAAUGCUAAUUGAAAACUUAAAAAAAAAAAAAAGAUAGGGGUCCAAAAUAAUAGGGUUUUCAAUAUUUGAUUUAUACCUAGGAAG